GCGAAGCAACAUGUUGCAGAGCUUUAUCUCAAUAUUUGCUUUAUUUUUUCUAUUUUUACUUGCGAAAGCAAAUCCAAUGGAUAUUCCAAAAGCAGAACCUGAAACUGCAAAUGGUUUCCUUCAGUUCGUCGCAUCUGUUGUGAAGGCCAGAUAUGCACUUCAGCAAAUCCAAUGGACAUUGAUCAUCAUUACUAUAUGUUUCAUUCUGGUUUUGAUCGGUUUAUUUUCCUUAUACUGUUGUUUCCGG
Molecule: long non-coding RNA, 247 nt
Organism: Xenopus tropicalis (tropical clawed frog)
Lineage: Eukaryota; Metazoa; Chordata; Amphibia; Anura; Pipidae
Exons: 3
Source: RefSeq, a predicted model, not a curated record